This 257-nucleotide long non-coding RNA is filed under the name Linum usitatissimum (flax). Its description in RNAcentral is "long non-coding RNA (LUSI_LNC000614)". Lineage: Eukaryota; Viridiplantae; Streptophyta; Magnoliopsida; Malpighiales; Linaceae. The record is from RNAcentral.
CAUCAACCUUUUCAGCGCAAACAUAUUCCUUUUUAACAACUUUGUUCUUGUCCUUUCCAUUUUCCACUAUAGACUGGACACCAGACUUGCCUAACUCUGGAGAACAGCAACCCUCUUUGUUGGGAUUUAAAUCAGCAUCUAAAUCAUCAACCUCAGGAUCCUCAGCUACAUCACUCUCAGAGUCCUCAUCUCUUUCAGCUUCAUCAGCAUCUUCUUCCACAAGACCACUUUUAAAUAUCUGGAUUUUUUCCCUAGCG